RNAcentral lists this non-coding RNA (24 nucleotides) under Arabidopsis thaliana (thale cress). The record is from RNAcentral. Lineage: Eukaryota; Viridiplantae; Streptophyta; Magnoliopsida; Brassicales; Brassicaceae.
CUCGUUCUACCCUCAUACCUCAAU